RNAcentral lists this non-coding RNA (98 nucleotides) under Methylocaldum szegediense. RNAcentral describes it as "traJ-II". It matches the Rfam family "traJ-II RNA". The record is from RNAcentral. Lineage: Bacteria; Pseudomonadati; Pseudomonadota; Gammaproteobacteria; Methylococcales; Methylococcaceae.
CGGCAAGAUAUGUGUUGUGGGCCUACGCGCAAGUGCGAAGUCCUCCAACACUCCCCCUUACUCGCCAUUGGCUCGACGGCAUCUUGCUCUGCGAGGCU